This 834-nucleotide ribosomal RNA is filed under the name uncultured bacterium. Its description in RNAcentral is "bacterial SSU rRNA". It matches the Rfam family "Bacterial small subunit ribosomal RNA", at positions 8 to 824 of the family's 1533-position model. The record is from RNAcentral.
AGAGUUUGAUCAUGGCUCAGAACGAACGCUGGCGGCGUGCUUAAUACAUGCAAGUCGAACGAGAAAGCCCGGCUUCGGUUGGGCGAGUAAAGUGGCGAACGGGUGAGUAACACGUGGACAAUCUGCCCUUAAAUCCGGGAUAAUCCCCCGAAAGGAGGUCUAAUACCGGAUAAUACCCUUUGAUGGCAUCAUCUUAGGGUCAAAGGCGGGGCAACCUGCCGUUUAGGGAUGAGUCCGCGUCCCAUUAGCUUGUUGGUGAGGUAACGGCUCACCAAGGCUGCGAUGGGUAGCCGGCCUGAGAGGGCGAUCGGCCACACUGGGACUGAGAUACGGCCCAGACUCCUACGGGAGGCAGCAGUAGGGAAUAUUGCGCAAUGGACGAAAGUCUGACGCAGCAACGCCGCGUGGGUGAUGAAGCUUCUUGGAGUGUAAAACCCUGUCAGUGGGGAAGAAACGCACGGGUAGUAACUGACCUGUGCCUGACGGUACCCGCAGAGGAAGUCCCGGCUAACUCCGUGCCAGCAGCCGCGGUAAUACGGGGGGGACAAGCGUUGUUCGGAUUUACUGGGCGUAAAGGGCGCGUAGGCGGACCUUCAAGUCGGAUGUGAAAACCGGCGGCUUAACUGCCGGCCUGCAUUCGAUACUGUUGGUCUUGAGUACAUGAGAGGAAGGCGGAAUUCCAGGUGUAGCGGUGAAAUGCGUAGAUAUCUGGAAGAACACCAGUAGCGAAGCGGCCUUCUGGCGUGAUACUGACGCUGAAGCGCGAAGGCUAGGGGAGCAAACAGGAUUAGAUACCCUGGUAGUCCUAGCGGUAAACGAUGGGUACUAGGUGUC